RNAcentral lists this ribosomal RNA (650 nucleotides) under uncultured bacterium. RNAcentral describes it as "bacterial SSU rRNA". It matches the Rfam family "Bacterial small subunit ribosomal RNA", at positions 8 to 706 of the family's 1533-position model. The record is from RNAcentral.
AGAGUUUGAUCCUGGCUCAGAACGAACGCUGGCGGCAGGCUUAACACAUGCAAGUCGAACGCCCCGCAAGGGGAGUGGCAGACGGGUGAGUAACGCGUGGGAAUCUACCGUACCCUACGGAAUAACGCAUGGAAACGUGUGCUAAUACCGUAUACGCCCUUCGGGGGAAAGAUUUAUCGGGGUAUGAUGAGCCCGCGUUGGAUUAGCUAGUUGGCGGGGUAAAGGCCUACCAAGGCGACGAUCCAUAGCUGGUCUGAGAGGAUGAUCAGCCACAUUGGGACUGAGACACGGCCCAAACUCCUACGGGAGGCAGCAGUGGGGAAUAUUGGACAAUGGGCGCAAGCCUGAUCCAGCCAUGCCGCGUGAGUGAUGAAGGUCUUAGGAUUGUAAAGCUCUUUCACCGAUGAAGAUAAUGACGGUAGUCGGAGAAGAAGCCCCGGCUAACUUCGUGCCAGCAGCCGCGGUAAUACGAAGGGGGCUAGCGUUGUUCGGAAUUACUGGGCGUAAACCGCACGUAGGCGGAUAUUUAAGUCAGGGGUGAAAUCCCGCAGCUCAACUGCGGAACUGCCUUUGAUACUGGGUAUCUCGAGUAUGGAAGAGGUGAGUGGAAUUCCGAGUGUAGAGGUGAAAUUCGUAGAUAUUCGGAGGAA